Molecule: transfer RNA, 74 nt
Filed under: Gemmatimonadota bacterium
Lineage: Bacteria; Pseudomonadati; Gemmatimonadota
Description: Gemmatimonadetes bacterium (activated sludge metagenome) tRNA-Arg
Rfam family: tRNA
About the family: Transfer RNA (tRNA) molecules are approximately 80 nucleotides in length.
Source: RNAcentral
GGGUCCAUAGCUCAACUGGAUAGAGCAUCUGACUACGGAUCAGAAGGUUGGGGGUUCGACUCCCUUUGGGCCCA